RNAcentral lists this long non-coding RNA (1374 nucleotides) under Oryctolagus cuniculus (rabbit). RNAcentral's name for it is "lncRNA (ENSOCUG00000039277.1)". Lineage: Eukaryota; Metazoa; Chordata; Mammalia; Lagomorpha; Leporidae. The record is from RNAcentral.
AUGCAAGUGUCACACAUCACAGUUCAGCAAAGGGUGUACUCAUGGCAGUUGCACAGUCGAUUCAGGCUGAUGGAGAAGUCAAACCUCAAGUGUUGCCAGUCACCGUACUCUAAAGAAAGAGAACUCAGGCAAAAUGGAGCAGGUGCUAUUUUCCCUAUUUUUAAAAAUGUCAUAAACAGUUCAAGCAUACAAAGGAAAUUCACAGAACAAUAUAGAGACAUCCACAAGCACCAUUCAAAUUUGACACAUUCACAUCGAUUUUUCCUUAAAGAAAGAACAUGUUGGGGCUGGUGCUGUGGUGUGGCAGGUUAAGCCAUUGCUUGCAAUGCUGGCAUCUCAUAUAGGUGCUGGUUUGUGUCCCCAGUAUUCCAUUUCCGAUCCAGCUCCCUGCUAAUGCGCCUGGAAAAGCCAAGUGCCUGGGCUCCUGCACCCACAUGGGAGACCCAGAUGAAGCUCCUGGCUCCUGGCUUCAGACUGGCCCCAGUCUGGCUGUUGUGGCUAUUCGAGGAAUGAACCAGAAGGUGGAAGAUCUCUCUCUCUGCAUGUAUAUAUGUCUUUCCUUCUUUCUUUGUUACUCUUUCAAAUAAGUCUAAAAAAAAAGAAAAAAAGGAAUGUUACAGAUGUGCUUAAACACCUUCCCAUUCCAUUCUCUCCCUCUUUUUUCUUCCCUCCCACCUAAUCCAGAAGAUUCAUUGUCUUUAAUUUGGUUUGAAUCUUCCCAUCCAGAAUAUAAAACUGUUUGUAUCAGGGUGGGAUUUUAGCCUAGUGGUUAAGACAGCCCCGCCCCGCCAGGAUGCCUGGGUUUGGUUCCUUGUUCUGGUUCCUGAUGCCAGCGUCCUGCUAAGGCAGAUCCUGGGAAGCAGUGAUGGUGACCCAAGUGAUUGGGCUCCUGUCACCUACAUGGGACACCUGGGUUCACUUCCUGGCUUCCAGCUUCAGCCCCAGCCAUUGCAAGCAAUUGAGGAGUGAGCCAGUAGUUGGGAGAUCUUUUUCUGUCUCACAAAAUAGGUUUUUUUUUAAAAAAAGUUUAUUUAUUUUCAUCUAUUUGAAGGUGAACAGAGCAACAGAGAAAGAAAGAUCUUCAUUUACUGGUUUACUCCCCAAAUACCCAUAACAGCCAGGGCUGAGCCAGGCUGAAGCCAGGAGCCUGGGACUCCAUCUGGGUCUCUCAUGUGGGUGGCAGGGGCUCAAGCACUUGGGCCAUCACCUGCUGCCUCCCAGGAUGCAUUAGCAGGAGUCAGGUCGACAGCAGAGGACUCAGGAUUCAAACAAGCCCUCCAACGUGGGAUGCAGGCUUAAACGAUGGCUUAGCCCACAGUGCUGCAAUGCUUACCCUCAAAUAAAGUGACUGUCUGAAAAACCUAUUGUAUAUAU